UUUAAAAAUAAUUUAUUUAUUUAUUGUUUUAGUAUUAAGUAAAAAUUAAUUUUAAGAUUUAUAGUUAAUUAGUAUUGUAAAAGAAUUUAUUUAAAUUAUAAAAAGAAUUUUUAAUAGUACCUUUUGUAUCAGGGUUGAUUAAAAAUUUUUAAUUAUUUUAAAUUUCUCAAAAUUUAUGGAGUUAAUUUUAUUAUAAAUUUAUUGUGGUAUAAAUAUUUAUUAAAUAAUAUUAGUUUUGAAAUUUAAUUCGUUAUAAAAUAUUUAGUUAUUUAAGAUUUAAAUUUAAUUUAAAAAUUUAAAAGUUUAAUUAUUUUAGAUAAAUAAUAUAAUUUUAAAUUUAAAUUAUUUUAGGGAUAAGCUUGAAAUUUAUAUAUAAUUUUUUUUUUUUUAAUAAUAUAUAGAAAUAGAAAUUUUUAUUUUAAGUUUGUAAAAAUUUAUUAUUUUUAAAUAUUUUAUUUAUUAUAAAUUAAAAUUUAUUUUUAAUAUUAAAUUAUAUUAAUUAAUAAAUAAUUAAUAGUAAUAAUGAUUAAAUUAGUAUAAUAUGUAAUUAUAAAUUAUGAAUUCGGCAAAUAAUAUUUUCAUCUGUUUAACAAAAACAUUGUAUUAAGUUUUAUUUAAUAUAGGAUCUGCUCAAUGAUUUUAUUAAAUAGCUGCAGUAUUUUGACUGUGCAAAG
Molecule: ribosomal RNA, 674 nt
Filed under: Eriosoma lanigerum (woolly apple aphid)
Lineage: Eukaryota; Metazoa; Arthropoda; Insecta; Hemiptera; Aphididae
Description: partial 16S large subunit ribosomal RNA
Source: RNAcentral